Long non-coding RNA from Chlorocebus sabaeus (green monkey), 2016 nucleotides. RefSeq lists it as uncharacterized. Lineage: Eukaryota; Metazoa; Chordata; Mammalia; Primates; Cercopithecidae. The record is from RefSeq and is a predicted model, not a curated record.
GGGAGGGAGGGGUCCUAGUGGGAAGACAGGUCAGCCCCAGAGAGCAGGCAGGUUGGGUGACUGGGAGAGUCCCUCUACCCUGAAAUCUGGGGGACAAUGACAAGCCGGGGUGUCAUUUCUGCCUGCCACAGUUUAUCCCCACCCCCAACCCAUGGGAAAGACAGGUAGAGGUGAGAAUAAUGGAGCCUGCUUCCCUGGGGAGUUAAGUGUGGUCUGGAUGAUGACUACAGCCACUUCUUCCCAAAUUGACAGCACUCAAGCUUUGGUGAAGCAGGUGACACACAGGCCUCUCUUACUCUGGGUGAUGAGAUGAGAGGACAGCUGUUCUCCCUUCACUCAAGGCAGCGCUCUGAGGUGUCCAGGAGGCGAUCUGCAAAUCAUCCCACUGAGUGCCCACAGCCGGUUUCUCCUCAGCUCUGCUGCGUGGAGGACUAAGAAAAACAGGCUGCUCGGGCUGGGCUGGGAUUUCAAGUUCCCAGGUCAUUUCCUCACCCGUGAUGCGCCUUUACUUCUCUGUUUUCCUCUAGAGUCACCACUUUGUGGCCAGUUAGACAAUCAGGCAAGGCUUCUUGGAGGAGGUGGUGAUUGUGUUGGCCUUUGAAGGAUAGAAAGGAUUUCAACAGGGAUGGUAAUAUUAUCAUUCCUAUUUUACAGAUAAGAAGCUACAGCUAAGAAAGCUUCACUGGCUUAUCCAAGGUCACUUGAGAGCUGAGAACAAUCGCCCACUCUGAACCUGAAAGCCGGUGGAGGCCUGUGCUAAUGAGCGUGCAGGUUUCGCUGCCCCCGGAAAUCAGGCACUGGCUCUGGGCACUCAGCAGCCGGAUGAUUGAAAGCCCAGUAGGGCUCCCAGCCCUCCCCCGCCCCCCACUCUCUUUUUUGUGUGUUGUCUGCAUCACUGCCCAGACCAAUCUAUCUCUUCAUGCUGAAUUUUUUAAAGCCAAAUUGGAAAAAAAUUGGAAGUAGCCUGCAUGCUAUUCCCCCGGGCUCCAAAUGGGCCCUCCAGUUAGGGGAACAAAAUACACUGUUUUAAUUUAUAAUAAUAAUUAUUAUUAUUAUCAUUAUCCAAAACAAUGACAAUACCAAUAAUCCUAUGCAUGGGUAGGCCAAUGUACAGCACAUAAAAUGCUUUUCCAGCUGUGAUUUCAUUUGGGCCUCACCCCCCUGUGAACCUGCUCCCGCCCCACCCCCCCAGCCCCUUUGUCUGUAAUCCGAGCAGGCCAAUUGCCUGUUGACUCUCAGCUGGGGUGGGAAGGCCAGUCUCAGGCUCCCAGGCCCUGCUUUUCCCAUGUCCUCUCGAAGGGAUCACAUUAGCAACACAUUUUUUAGCAGACGUGGCAGAGCACCUGCUCUGCUCAGGGAAGGGCUCCGGACCUGUCAGAAGGAGAAGAUAGGACUUUGCAAUCACUGGCCUCCAGUGAGAUGAUAGAGAAAGGCCAGAUAAUCUUAACUCCACACUAUAAGAGCUAUGCAUGGCCUUUGGGAGACUCUGGGCUCAAAAGUUGAAGUCAGCUUGAGGAAUGCCUCAAAGGCCAUUUCAUCCGAUGUGGAUCACAUUGCAGACCUCACAGUUUCAACUUGUCAUUGAAUUGUCACGUACGUACAGAAAAAUACAAAAAGCAUGACGGUACAACUCAAUGACUUUUCUCAAACAGAACACACUCGUAUAAGCAGCCCCCGACUAAGAAAUGGAAGCCCCCUUUGUUCUCCCUUCUAAUCACUCCUCCCAACCAGGGUGAGCGCCAUCCCGACGUGAAACAAUGUAGAUUAAUGCUGCUGCUUUUUAUAUUCAUAUGACUGGAGUCAUACACACUAUGCAGUCUUUUGUGUCUGGCUUCUUUUGUUCGAUGUUAUGAUGUGAUAUUCAACAUCACUGGAUACUGUUGUAGAUUUUUCAUUUCUCUGCUCUGUGAUAUUUCGCCGUAUGAAGAUAGUGAAAUUUAGGUAUCCAUUUAUCAUGGAUGAACAUUUGGAGGGUUUCAAGUUUUUGGUUAUUAUGAAUAAAGCUGUUUAUGAAUA